AGCUCCAAUAGCGUAUAUUAAAGUUGCUGCAGUUAAAAAGCUCGUAGUUGCAUUUCCGAGGCAAGGGAUUAGUCCGACCUUUGGUGGGUAUUUAAUCCUCUUGCCUCGUCCUUGAGUGGUGCUUCUUGGUAUUAAGUUAUCGAGGAGAUAGCCGCUCAUCGUUUACUGUGAGAAAAUUAGAGUGUUCAAAGCAGGCUUAUGCCGUUGAAUAUAUUAGCAUGGAAUAAUAAGAUAGGACCUCGGUACUAUGUUGUUGGUUUGAGAACCAAGGUAAUGAUGAAUAGGGACAGUUGGGGGUAUUCGUAUUCAGUUGUCAGAGGUGAAAUUCUUAGAUUUACGGAAGACGAACUACUGCGAAAGCAUUUACCAAGGAUGUUGUCA
This 381-nucleotide ribosomal RNA is filed under the name uncultured marine Chaetocerotaceae. RNAcentral's name for it is "SSU rRNA". It matches the Rfam family "Eukaryotic small subunit ribosomal RNA", at positions 587 to 972 of the family's 1831-position model. The record is from RNAcentral. Lineage: Eukaryota; Bacillariophyta; Thalassiosirophyceae; Chaetocerotales; Chaetocerotaceae.